GGGGGGCUGGCGCAACGGUAGCGCGGUAAGCAUCAUAUGGAUCCCAUCUCAUAAAUCACUCAACUAACUCCCCUCAUAGUCAGAUUCCAGUGCACUGGGAUCUCCUGAAGGUUAAGGGUUCAAAUCCCUUGUCCCUCA
This 138-nucleotide transfer RNA is filed under the name Fusarium solani. Its description in RNAcentral is "tRNA-OTHER". It matches the Rfam family "tRNA". Rfam says of the family: Transfer RNA (tRNA) molecules are approximately 80 nucleotides in length. Their secondary structure includes four short double-helical elements and three loops (D, anti-codon, and T loops). Lineage: Eukaryota; Fungi; Ascomycota; Sordariomycetes; Hypocreales; Nectriaceae. The record is from RNAcentral.